GAAAAAGUUCCAGGUCACAUAACACAGUGCUUGUUCCUGGGACAGUAAGGGUUCUCUCUUACUAAUUUAGUGAUAUGCGUGGAAGCAAGCUGCAUUUUUAGUUCAUCAGCUCAAAAAAAAUCGUUAUGUUGAUUAAAGUGCUAUUUCAUUACAGAAGACUUAGAAAUGCUCCAACAUCUGCUGCUAAAGAAGAGCAGUUGGGAUCGAGAAAAUAGCUCCUAAUACAUGCCUUGAUCUGACUUCAGAAGUUUCUUUGUUAUCAUCUGCCUGCAGGAGACAUUCUGUGGAGGUUCUGUGAAUUGCAUCGGGCAGCAUGAGCUGCUGAGCUGGCAUUUGAAUUAAAUGAUGUCCAAUGCAAAGUGAAAAAUGAGACUGCACUGAUCAGCCACAGAACGCACUGCUCCUUCACGAGGACCUCGCCGAUUCAGCUCCGUGAAAAUGUUCCAGUACCCUAAUCUGUUGACAAGAUCAUGGUGAUGCUUUCAAAUGCCUGAGCUGCCUUCUAACCAGGUGAGUGUUCACAGAGUUUACAAAGGCAUUGACUGUGGUUUUCUGACAAGCCUAGCUUCUAAGUAUCU
This 578-nucleotide long non-coding RNA is filed under the name Gallus gallus (chicken). RNAcentral describes it as "long non-coding RNA NONGGAT007267". Lineage: Eukaryota; Metazoa; Chordata; Aves; Galliformes; Phasianidae. The record is from RNAcentral.